AAAAUGUUAGGGAGGAGGGAGGAGCCUGUGGGGGUGGGAACGGGGGCGGGCAGGGUGGGAUAUAACCGGGAUGAGGAGCCCCCGGUGCUCACAGCCCAGCGUGGAGCUGCUUCUUCCCAGCCCUGACCCAGGUGAAGCAGUGGCUAGAAGAAAUGAGCUUGUUGAGGAAAGCUGGAAAACACUUAGGUGGCGGCAUAGUAUCUGCGAUUAUUUGGUAUGUGGUUGAGAAAGUCCUAGACCUGAUAUUCGACAAAUCCACAGGGACAAAUGUGGAGGGCAAAACACCCAUGGAACGUGACAUAGAUGAAGACUUCCAGAAGCCCAGUUUCAGGGUGCCGAAGUUCACGGACAUCAACAGUAUGAGCCGGUGAAGCCAAAUUUAUUAUCCCUAAGAGGGCUAUAUUUAUAGUAAGUUUCUACUGUCCACGCAUCUCUAGCUAAUACAUGAUUGGUUAAUCCUAGCUGUUCACAUGUCUAAAAUAAAAUGCUGAUUGGAUCAUCUAA
Molecule: long non-coding RNA, 504 nt
Organism: Haemorhous mexicanus (house finch)
Lineage: Eukaryota; Metazoa; Chordata; Aves; Passeriformes; Fringillidae
Exons: 4
Source: RefSeq, a predicted model, not a curated record